AAAAGCAAAUAAGGGCGUAUGGCGGAUGCCUAGGCUCACGGAGGCGAUGAAGGACGUGAUAAGCUGCGAUAAGCCGCGGUAAGGUGCAAAUGACCCUUGACCCGCGGAUUUCCGAAUGGGACAACCCGGCCGCCAUAAGGCGGUCAUCAUGACAAAGGUCAUGAGGCGAACGCGGGGAACUGAAACAUCUUAGUACCCGCAGGAAGAGAAAAUAAACAAUGAUUCCCCCAGUAGUGGCGAGCGACCGGGGAAGAGCCCAAACCGGAGGCGUCAAGGCGCUUCCGGGGUUGUAGGACCGCGCUGUUGCAAUGGAGAGACGAGCGUGACCGUCUGGAAAGUCGGGCCGUAGCGGGUGAGAGCCCCCUGCGCGAAGAAUCUUCAUGCAUAGCGGUAUCCUGAGUAACGCGGGACACGAGGAAUCCUGCGCGAAUCGGCCGGGACCAUCCGGCAAGGCUAAAUACUCCCGUGAGACCGAUAGUGGACCAGUACCGUGAGGGAAAGGUGAAAAGAACUCCGACGAGGAGAGUGAAACAGCCCCUGAAACCAUACGCCUACAAGCGGUCGGAGCAUGCGAUGCAUGUGACGGCGUGCCUUUUGCAUAAUGAACCUACGAGUUGCCGUCACGGGCAAGGUUAAGCGCCUAAGGCGCCGAGCCGCAGUGAAAGCGAGCCUGAAAAGGGCGUACAGUCCGUGGAGGCAGACGCGAAACCGAGUGAUCUACACUUGUCCAGGAUGAAGUCCCGGUAACACGGGAUGGAGGUCCGCACCGAUAAGCGUUGAAAAGCUUCCGGAUGAGGUGAGUGUAGGAGUGAAAGGCCAAUCAAACUCGGAGAUAGCUCGUACUCCCCGAAAUGCAUUUAGGUGCAGCGUUCCGCGAUAGCGUCAAGAGGUAGAGCGACCGAUAGGAUGCGAGGGCUUCACCGCCUAUCAAGUCCUGACGAACUCCGAAUGCUUGACGCCGGCAGCGGGGCAGCAAGGGGGCGGGUGCUAAGGUCCGUCCCCGAGAGGAGAAGAAUCCAGACCGCCGUCUAAGGUCCCGGAAUUCUGCCUGAGUUAGUCUAACGAAGUGAGGUCCCUGAGACAGCCAGGAUGUUGGCUUGGAAGCAGCCAUUCAUUCAAAGAGUGCGUAACAGCUCACUGGUCGAGGGUCCUUGCAUGGAUAAUAAUCGGGUAUAAGGCAGAUACCGAAGGCGCGGGAUAGUAAUAAUAAAAGUAUCGGUAGGGGAGCAUUCCAUGUGCGUCGAAUGUCAGAGGUGACUUUGGCUGGAGCGCAUGGAAAAGCAAAUGUAGGUAUAAGUAACGACAAGGAGGGCGAGAACCCCUCCCGCCGCAAGACCAAGGUUUCCCGGGCAAUGCCAGUCAUCCCGGGGUAAGUCGGGUCCUAAGUCUAAGCCGAAGGGCGAAGGCGAUGGCAGAAACGGUUAAUAUUCCGUUACUGCCUGUGCGAGCGAUGUGGAGACGGAGAAGUGACACCGCCGCGGGGUGACGGAAAUCCCCGUUGAAGGGCGUAGGCGCUGAGGAAUCCAGGCAAAUCCGGGUUCCGAGCCGACCCUGACAGUACUCCGGCGCCUCCGGGCAACGGAGAGAGCGCGGGUAAUCAUGCUCCCGAGAAAAUCCGCUAAGCAAUCGCGCAGGCACCCGUACCGCAAACGGACACACGUAGUCGGGUAGAAUAUACUAAGGCGUUGAGAGACUCAUGGUUAAGGAACUAGGCAAACUGACCCCGUAACUUCGGGAUAAGGGGUCCUCACGUAGAGUGAGGCGCAGAGAAUAGGUCCAGGCAACUGUUUAACAAAAACACAGGGCUGUGCGAACUCGAAAGAUGAAGUAUACAGCCUGACACCUGCCCGGUGCCGGAAGGUUAAGAGGAGAGCUCAGGAGCGAUCCGAAGGUUUGAAUUGAAGCCCCGGUAAACGGCGGCCGUAACUAUAACGGUCCUAAGGUAGCGAAAUUCCUUGUCGGGUAAGUUCCGACCUGCACGAAUGGUG
RNAcentral lists this ribosomal RNA (1988 nucleotides) under human gut metagenome. RNAcentral's name for it is "bacterial LSU rRNA". It matches the Rfam family "Bacterial large subunit ribosomal RNA", at positions 1 to 2001 of the family's 2925-position model. The record is from RNAcentral.